This 427-nucleotide ribosomal RNA is filed under the name uncultured bacterium. RNAcentral's name for it is "bacterial SSU rRNA". It matches the Rfam family "Bacterial small subunit ribosomal RNA", at positions 355 to 775 of the family's 1533-position model. The record is from RNAcentral.
UCGAGAAUUUUUCACAAUGGGCGCAAGCCUGAUGGAGCGACGCCGCGUGGGGGAUGAAUGGCUUCGGCCCGUAAACCCCUGUCAUCUGGGAACAAUGCUCAUUCAAUAACACUGGAUGAGUUGAUAGUACUGGAAGAGGAAGGGACGGCUAACUCUGUGCCAGCAGCCGCGGUAAUACAGAGGUCCCAAGCGUUGUUCGGAUUCACUGGGCGUAAAGGGUGCGUAGGUGGUGAGGUAAGUCGGAUGUGAAAUCUCCGAGCUCAACUCGGAAAUGGCAUUGGAAACUACCUUGCUAGAGGAUUGGAGGGGAGACUGGAAUGCUUGGUGUAGCAGUGAAAUGCGUAGAUAUCAAGCGGAACACCAGUGGCGAAGGCGAGUCUCUGGACAAUUCCUGACACUGAGGCACGAAAGCCAGGGGAGCAAACGG